GCCAGGUGUGGUGGUGCACACCUGUAAUCUCAGCUACUCAGGAGGCUGAGGCAGGAGAAUCGCUUGAGCUUGGGAGGCAGAGGCUGCAGUGAGCUGAGAUUGUGUCACUGCACUGCAGCCUGGGCAACAGAGUGAGCCCCUGCCUCAA
Molecule: unclassified non-coding RNA, 148 nt
Organism: Callithrix jacchus (white-tufted-ear marmoset)
Lineage: Eukaryota; Metazoa; Chordata; Mammalia; Primates; Cebidae
Rfam family: Metazoan signal recognition particle RNA
About the family: The signal recognition particle (SRP) is a universally conserved ribonucleoprotein.
Source: Ensembl